RNAcentral lists this ribosomal RNA (435 nucleotides) under uncultured bacterium. RNAcentral's name for it is "partial 16S ribosomal RNA". It matches the Rfam family "Bacterial small subunit ribosomal RNA", at positions 29 to 507 of the family's 1533-position model. The record is from RNAcentral.
AGCGAACGCUGGCGGCAGGCUUAACACAUGCAAGUCGAGCGGGCACCUUCGGGUGUCAGCGGCAGACGGGUGAGUAACACGUGGGAACGUACCCUUCGGUUCGGAAUAACGCUGGGAAACUAGCGCUAAUACCGGAUACGCCCUUAUGGGGAAAGGUUUACCGCCGAAGGAUCGGCCCGCGUCUGAUUAGCUAGUUGGUGGGGUAACGGCCUACCAAGGCGACGAUCAGUAGCUGGUCUGAGAGGAUGAUCAGCCACACUGGGACUGAGACACGGCCCAGACUCCUACGGGAGGCAGCAGUGGGGAAUAUUGGACAAUGGGCGCAAGCCUGAUCCAGCCAUGCCGCGUGAGUGAUGAAGGCCUUAGGGUUGUAAAGCUCUUUUGUCCGGGACGAUAAUGACGGUACCGGAAGAAUAAGCCCCGGCUAACUUCGUG